CAAUCAAAACCUUGCGUUUAAUUUAAAAUAAUACAAUUCAUAAAUAACAAAAAAUCAUAAAAUAAAUUAAUUGAAGUCCAAAAGGAGAGUCUUUGGCCAUGCACAACAAUAAAUAAUGUGCUACUUGUUCUUUCACCUGUAACCUUUCAACCCUCAGUUGUGAAAGGCAAAAUGGCAGCGUCCAUACCAGGCAUUUGAAUGAUUUUAUGCCGUGUCUAUCCUUUACUUUUACUUACUUUUCGGCAGAAUAAGGUAUUUGACAUUUAUUUUCUAUAGUGUGUCAGAUAAGUGAAAGCUAGGACUUCCGCUGCACACAUACGUUACACAGAUUAUCAGAUCACGAAACAGUGACCGAGCUAACGUUACCGUCGGUUAAUGAACACAGUGAAGUUACAGCUUUAGCUAGCAACAUAGUGAACUACAUACCAGUACCUGACUUUGUGUACUGCGUAUGCAUAUUGCAUCUUCACUGUACAUCAUCCAAUGCAACCCCCGUAAUAUGUUUCACAUAGAACCAUAGUCUAUGCAAAUGUAUCAGCGUCAUUGUCUUGUGUACUGUACAGUACACUGUAUUUGCACUUGAUGACUUGACUGACAGUCACUCUAUUUGUUUGGUUUCUAACUUCCAAAGAGGUUACCUGUCAGGCAUUGGACCCAGGCUGUGUUUCCAAGUGUGAAGUCCAGCCUCUCUGUGCACUGCAGCCUAACCUGAAAUCUCCAGUGAUGCUGCUGUGGCAGUGGAGACUUUUUAUUUUUUUUUUAUUUCACCUUUAUUUAACCAGGUAGGCAAGUUGAGAACAAGUUCUCAUUUACAAUUGCGACCUGGCCAAGAUAAAGCAAAGCAGUUCGACAGAUACAACGACACAGAGUUACACAUGUAGUAAAACAAACAUACAGUCAAUAAUACAGUAUAAACAAGUCUAUAUACAAUGUGAGCAAAUUAGGUGAGAAGGGAGGUAAAGGCAAAAAAGGCCAUGGUGGCAAAGUAAAUACAAUAUAGCAAGUAAAACACUGGAAUGGUAGUUUUGCAAUGGAAGAAUGUGCAAAGUAGAAAUAAAAAUAAUGGGGUGCAAAGGAGCAAAAUAAAUAAAUAAAUGAAAUACAGUUGGGAAAGAGGUAGUUGUUUGGGCUAAAUUAUAGGUGGGCUAUGUACAGGUGCAGUAAUCUGUAAGAUGCUCUGACAGUUGGUGCUUAAUGCUAGUGAGGGAGAUAAGUGUUUCCAGUUUCAGAGAUUUUUGUAGUUCGUUCCAGUCAUUGGCAGCAGAGAACUGGAAGGAGAGGCGGCCAAAGAAAGAAUUGGUUUUGGGGGUGACGAGAGAUAUACCUGCUGGAGCGUGUGCUACAGGUGGGAGAUGCUAUGGUGACCAGCGAGCUGAGAUAAGGGGGGACUUUGCCUAGCAGGGUCUUGUAGAUGACAUGGAGCCAGUGGGUUUGGCGACGAGUAUGAAGCGAGGGCCAGCCAACGAGAGCGUACAGGUCGCAAUGGUGGGUAGUAUAUGGGGCUUUGGUGACAAAACGGAUUGCACUGUGAUAGACUGCAUCCAAUUUGUUGAGUAGGGUAUUGGAGGCUAUUUUGUAAAUGACAUCGCCAAAGUCGAGGAUUGGUAGGAUGGUCAGUUUUACAAGGGUAUGUUUGAGAGCAUGAGUGAAGGAUGCUUUGUUGUGAAAUAGGAAGCCAAUUCUAGAUUUAACUUUGGAUUGGAGAUGUUUGAUAUGGGUCUGGAAGGAGAGUUUACAGUCUAACCAGACACCUAAGUAUUUGUAGUUGUCCACGUAUUCUAAGUCAGAGCCGUCCAGAGUAGUGAUGUUGGACAGGCGGGUAGGUGCAGGUAGCGAUGGGUUGAAGAGCAUGCAUUUAGUUUUACUUGUAUUUAAGAGCAAUUGGAGGCCACGGAAGGAGAGUUAUAUGGCAUUGAAGCUUGCCUGGAGGGUUGUUAACACAGUGUCCAAAGAAGGGCCGGAAGUAUACAGAAUGGUGUCGUCUGCGUAGAGGUGGAUCAGGGACUCACCAGCAGCAAGAGCGACCUCAUUGAUGUAUACAGAGAAGAGAGUCGGUCCAAGAAUUGAACCCCCAUAGAGACUGCCAGAGGUCCGGACAGCAGACCCUCCGAUUUGACACACUGAACUCUAUCAGAGAAGUAUUUGGUGAACCAGGCGAGGCAAUCAUUUGAGAAACCAAGGCUGUCGAGUCUGCCGAUGAGGACGUGGUGGUUGACAGAGUCGAAAGCCUUGGCCAGAUCAAUGAAUACGGCUGCACAGUAAUGUUUCUUAUCGAUGGCGGUUAAGAUAUCGUUUAGGACCUUGAGCGUGGGUGAGGUGCACCCAUGACCAGCUCUGAAACCAGAUUGCAUAGCAGAGAAGGUAUGGUGAGAUUCGAAAUGGUCGGUAAUCUGUUUGUUGACUUGGCUUUCGAAGACCUUAGAAAGGCAUGGUAGGAUAGAUAUAGGUCUGUAGCAGUUUGGGUCAAGAGUGUCCCCCCCUUUGAAGAGGGGGAUGACCGCAGCUGCUUUCCAAUCUUUGGGAAUCUCAGACGACACGAAAGAGAGGUUGAACAGGCUAGUAAUAGGGGUGGCAACAAUUUCGGCAGAUAAUUUAAGAAAGAAAGGGUCCAGAUUGUCUAGCCCGGCUGAUUUGUAGGGGUCCAGAUUUUUCAGCUCUUUCAGAACAUCAGCUGAAUGGAUUUGGGAGAAGGAGAAAUGGGGAAGGCUUGGGCGAGUUGCUGUUGGGGGUGCAGUGCUGUUGACCGGGGUAGGAGAAGCCAGGUGGAAAGCAUGGCCAGCCGUAGAAAAAUGCUUAUUGAAAUUCUCAAUUAUGGUGGAUUUAUCAGUGGUGACAGUGUUUCCUAUCUUCAGUGCAGUGGGCAGCUGGGAGGAGGUGUUCUUAUUCUCCAUGGACUUUACAGUGUCCCAGAACUUUUUGAGUUAGUGUUGCAGGAAGCAAAUUUCUGCUUGAAAAAGCUAGCCUUGGCUUUUCUAACUGCCUGUGUAUAACGGUUUCUAGCUUCCCUGAACAGCUGCAUAUCACGGGGGCUGUUCGAUGCUAAUGCAGAACGCCAUAGGAUGUUUUUGUGUUGGUUAAGGGCAGUCAGGUCUGGGGAGAACCAAGGGCUAUAUCUGUUCCUGGUUCUAAAUUUCUUGAAAGGGGCAUGUUUAUUUAAGAUGGUUAGGAAGGCAUUUAAAAAAAAUAUCCAGGCAUCCUCUACUGACGGGAUGAGAUCAAUAUCCUUCCAGGAUACCCCGGCCAGGUCGAUUAGAAAGGCCUGCUCGCUGAAGUGUUUCAGGGAGCGUUUUACAUUGAUGAGUGGAGGUCGUUUGACCGCUGACCCAUUACGGAUGCAGGCAAUGAGGCAGUGAUCGCUGAGAUCUUGGUUGAAGACAGCAGAGGUGUAUUUAGAGGGGAAGUUGGUUAGGAUGAUAUCUAUGAGGGUGCCCGUGUUUAAGGCUUUGGGGGGGUACCUGGUAGGUUCAUUGAUAAUUUGAGUGAGAUUGAGGGCAUCAAGUUUAGAUUGUAGGAUGGCUGGGGUGUUAAGCAUGUUCCAGUUUAGGUCGCCUAGCAGCACGAGCUCUGAAGAUAGAUGGGGGGCAAUCAGUUCACAUAUGGUGUCCAGAGCACAGCUGGGGGCAGAGGGUGGUCUAUAGCAGGUGGCAACGGUGAGAGACUUGUUUUUAGAGAGGUGGAUUUUUAAAAGUAGAAGUUCAAAUUGUUUGGGUACAGACCUGGAUAGUAGGACAGAACUCUGCAGGCUAUCUUUGCAGUAGAUUGCAACACCGCCCCCUUUGGCAGUUCUAUCUUGUCUGAAAAUGUUGUAAUUUGGAAUUAUAAUUUCAGAAUUUUUGGUGGUCUUCCUAAGCCAGGAUUCAGACACAGCUAGAUCAUCCGGGUUGGCAGAGUGUGCUAAAGCAGUGAAUAGAACAAACUUAGGGAUGAGGCUUCUAAUGUUAACAUGCAUGAAACCAAGGCUAUUACGGUUACAGAAGUCAUCAAAAGAGAGCGCCUGGGGAAUAGGAGUGGAGCUAGGUACUGCAAGGCCUGGAUUCACCUCUACAUCGCCAGAGGAACAUAGGAGGAGAAGAAUAAGGGUACGGCUAAAAGCAAUAAGAAUUGGUCGUCUAGAACGUCUGGAACAGAGAGUAAAAGGAGGUUUCUGGGGGCGAUAAAAUAGCAUCAAGGUAUAAUGUACAGACAAAGGUAUGGUAGGAUGUGAACACAGUGGAGGUAAACCUAGGUAUUGAGUGAUGAAGAGAGAGAUAUUGUCUCUAGAAACAUCAUUGAAACCAGGAGAUGUCAUUGCAUGUGUGGGUGGUGGAACUAAUAAAUUGGAUAAGGUAUAGUGAGCAGGACUAGAGGCUCUACAGUGAAAUAAGCCAAUAAACACUAACCAGAACAGCAAUGGACAAGACAUAUUGGCAUUAAGGAGAGGCAUCCUUAGUCGAGUGAUCAAAAGAGUCCAGUGAGUGGAGUGGUUGGUUUGGGGGUCACGGCGAUUUAGACAGCUAGCCAGGACAUCGGUAGCAAGCUAGCAUAGGAUGGAGGUCUGUUGUUAGCCACCUCUUGCGUUCCGUCAGUAGAUUAGUGGGGUUCCGUGUGGUAGAGGGGAUUAGUCCAAAUCACACAACAACAAAAAUAAAAUAAAAACAAUAUAUAUAGUUAGAGGCCCAAGAAGAAACAGAAUAAUAAUAAAAAUAAAUAAAUUGUCAGAUUGUCUAUUCUGAGAGCAGCCGGUAAGACAGCUAACGGUUAGCAGGCCGCAGAUGGGCGUUCAGGUAACGUCGCGACGGAGGAGCCAGCCGGAUCUCCUUCGGGUAGAUAACGUCGGCAGUCCAGUUGUGAAGGCCCGGUGGGGCUCCGCGUAGGCAGUAAAACGGGUCCGGAUAGGUGACUGCAGCCCAGGAGUGAUUGACGGAGCUCAGGAGUGAUUGACGGAGCUGGCUAGCUCCGGAGUAAUUGAUGUUUGCUCCGGAAUCGACGAGAGCAGAUAGACACACGGAUAGCAGCUAGCUAGCUGUGAGAUCUGGGAAUGAAUGUCCAGAGAGCAGUUGAAAUCCAAGGACAUGGAGAGAAAAAUUGGUCCGGUAUGUUCCGAGCCGCGCUGCGCCGUACAAAACUGGCGAUAGAUUUUCGAGCUAAAGGAUAGCUGAUGACCAAAAACCGUGGUUAGCUGAAUACUAACGAUUUGCCAGUAAAGAAGCUAACUAGCUUCUGAACUAGCUUCUGAUUAGCUUCUAGCUAGCUCAUGGCUAGCUUCUGGUUAGUUUCUGGCUAGCUUCUUGGAGUUUCUGGCUAGCUUCUUGGAGGAUUGCAGAUUUGAGGUAAAUAAUACUUAUUUAUACAUAUAAAUUGGUGAGACGGGUUGCAGGAGAGUGUUUUGAAGAUGAGUUGAUGGAAAAUAAAAAUAAAAUGUAUGUGAAAAAAAGUUGUAAAUAUAUAUAUAUACAGGACACGACAAGACGAGGACAAAAGACGUCUGAACUGCUAUGCCAUCUCGGGCAGCACUUUAACUGUUACAAGGACAGACCAUGGGGCUACCUGGAGAGCGAAGAGUACAUAGAGCACUAUGGAACCAGUCCAGUGUGGUCUAACUACAGGAGGAACCAGAAAGGAGGGAUUCCCCCUCAGAAGACAUGCAAUACCUGCAUUGUAGGUGUAACAGCUGUGGUUCUGUAACCUUGCCUGAGACCUGGAGACUUGUGGUAGCUCUCCAAGCUAUUGUCUAGGCUUUUUUGGAGAGUGCACAGAUAUUCAGAGGAGGUCGACCAUGAUGCUGUCUGCUCUGUGUUAGGCUAUGUAACUCCAUAUUAUUAUUAUAUUCUCCACCAAACAGUCACGAGUUCGUACUGUUAGGUGACCUAAACUGGGAUAUGCUUAACACUCCGGCCGUCCUACAAUCUAAGCUUGAUGCCCUCAAUCUCACACAAAUGAUCAAGGAACCUACCAGGUACAACCCCAAAUCUGUAAACAUGGGCACCCUCAUAGAUAUCAUCCUGACCAACCUGCCCUCUAAAUACACCUCUGCUGUCUUCAACCAGGAUCUCAGUGAUCACAAGCUAUUCAAUGUUAUGUUUGGUAAGCAAUGGACCAUUGUCUUUCUGCAGAAUGUGAAGCUGCUGCAAAAUUUUAAACGCCCAUAUACAGGCGUUGUGUAUGACCCCACGCGGACAGGUAAGAUGGUUUCUAUUUAUGUAAUGUGAAUACAAUUCUAUGAAUUCAUCUGAAUCAACCAUGCUGAAUUCAGCAAGUGUUAUCUAAAUGCUUGCUGGUUUCAUCGAAAUAAGUUGUCUUUGAUUAAAUGAAUUUACACACUUGACACAGCCAAGAAUCUGAGACUGCCAAUAGGUGUUUUAGUGAUAAACCUUUCUGCAUAAAGUAACAUCUGUUUUUUUGUGAGGUUUGAGGUAACCAAAGUGGCACAUUUAUAUUGUUAUUCUACAUUUUUAUCCAGGAGAGUCAGAAACAGAAAAAUUAACUCAUUCAGGCAAUUGGCACUGCAAGAGACCAUGGUAAGUUCAGCCUCUGUGACUAAGGAGCAGAAUGCUACAGCAGUACAGUAAUGAAGAAUUACAUUUUUUUGUGACCAGUGCAGCGGUUCAACAAUGCCACCAAAAGAGAAACUGCAGUUCCCUACAGUACAUAAAUAUUGUCCAUAUUUCCAGGGCUGCUACCCUUCUAGGUUCCUCAUGUGGACUUUUCAGAGGAGGACUAUUCCAACUCCCACUACGCAGUUGGCUGGUCAUUUAUGAACAUUUGAACAUCUUGGCCACGUUCUGUUAUAGUCUCCACCCGGCACAGCCAGAAGAGGACUGGCCACCCCACAUAGCCUGGUUCCUCUCUAGGUUUCUUCCUAGGUUUUGGCCUUUCUAGGGAGUUUUUCCUCAUGUGGACUUUUCAGAGGAGGACUAUUCCAACUCCCACUACGCAGUUGGCUGGUCAUUUAUGAACAUUUGAACAUCUUGGCCACGUUCUGUUAUAGUCUCCACCCGGCACAGCCAGAAGAGGACUGGCCACCCCACAUAGCCUGGUUCCUCUCUAGGUUUCUUCCUAGGUUUUGGCCUUUCUAGGGAGUUUUUCCUAGCCACCAUGCUUCUACACCUGCAUUGCUUGCUGUUUGGGGUUUUAGGCUGGGUUUCUGUACAACACUUUGAGAUAUUAGCUGAUGUACGAAGGGCUAUAUAAAUAAAAUUUGAUUUGAUUUGGCUCGGCCCCUCCUCCCCCCACCAUGACCCCUUGGUACAGGUGGUACCACACCAUACAGCCAGACGAGACUGAAGUGGCUCAAGUCAAGAAGACCAACAAGGCGCAUUUGACAUAGGCCCUAGUCUAUCAGAGGAAUCAUGGUAAAAUUAUUUUUUGUGAUAUAAUUUGGGCUUUCUGGAAGUAGUAGAGCAAGUUUUAAAGAUGCACUAUGCAGAAAUCACUCCACCAUUUCCUGGUUGCUAAAAUUCUAAUAGUUUGCCUAAUUUCAGUUUGUGACAAAACAAGCAAGUAUAGUGUAAAGAAUCAUUACACCAUCUAAACCGCAGUGUGAAAUAUUUUCCAUAACCAAAAAUAUUGUAUUUUCAGAUGGUGUACAAAAACAAGACGAUAAAAGUAAACUUAAGCAUAGAAAUAGUGCUCAGAACAUAUUACUGCUUCUUGGACUUGCUUUCAAUGAGUGACAGAUCUACAACUCAUAUUUUCUGUUAAUUUGUUCAGGUCGCACUAAAAGUUAUAGAAUAUUGUUUAUGGCAAUAUUGCUUUUGGGAGAGUUUUGCUAAAACAUGUCACAGAUCACUGAUUCAUGCCAGACACUUUUCACGGGCUACAACUAAAAAUCUAAUUGUAUUUGUCACAUACUUUGUAAACAACCAGUGUAGACUAACAGUGAAAUGCUUACAUCUACUUUGUGCAUGACACAAGUCAUUUUUCCAAUAAUUGUUUACAGACAGAUUGUAUCACAAUUCCAGUGGGUCAGAAGUUUACAUACGCUAAGUUGACUGUGCCUUUGAACAGCUUGGAAAAUUCCAACAAAUUAUGUCAUGGCUUUAGAAGCUUCUGAUAGGCUAAUUUACAUAAUUUGAGUCAAUUGGAGGUGUACCUGUAGAUGUAUUUCAAGGCCUACCUUCAAACUCAGUGCCUCUGCUUGACAUCAUGUGGAAAUCAGCCAAGACCUCUGAAAAAAAAUGUAACCCCCCACAAGUCUGGCUCAUCCUUGGAAGCAAUUUCCAAACCACGUUCAUGUGUACAAACAAUAGUACACAAGUAUCAUGGGACCACACAGCCAUCAUACCGCUCAGGAAGGACACGCGUUCUGUCUCCUUGAGAUGAACGUACUUUGGUGCGAAAAGUACCAGACUACAGUUUGCAACUGUACAUGGGGACAAAGAUCAUACUUUUUGGAGAAAUGUCCUCUGGUCUAAUGAAACAAAAAUAACUGUUUAGCCAUAAUGACCAUCAUGUUUGGAGGAAAAAGGGGGAGGCUUGCAAGACGAAGAACACCAUCCCAACCGUGAAGCACGGGGGUGGCAGCAUCAUGUUUGGGGGUGCUUUGCUGCAGGAGGGACUGGCGCAAUUUACAAAAUAGAUGGCAUCAUGAGGGAGAAAUGAUGUGGAAAUAUUGAAGCAACAUCAAGACGUCAGUCAGGAAAUGGGUAUUCCAAAUGGACAAUGACCCCAGGCAUACUUCCAAAGUUGUGGCUAAAUGGCUUAAGGACAACAGUCACGGUGUUGGAGGGCCAUCACAAAGCCCUGACCUCAAUCCUAUGGAAAAUUUGUGGGCAGAACUGAAAAAGUGUGUGUGAGCAAGGAGGCCUACAAAUCUGACUCAGUUACACCAGCUCUGUCAGGAGGAAUGGGCCAAAAUUCACCCACCUUAUUGUGGGAAGCUUGUGGAAGGCUACCUGAAAUGUUUGACCCAAGUCAAACAAUUUAAAGGCAAUGCUACCAACUACUAAUUGAGUGAGUGUAUGUAAACUCUGACCCACUGGGAAUGUGAUGAAAGAAAUAAAAGCUGAAAUCACUAUUAUUGACAUUUCACAUUAAAGUGGUGAUCCUAACUUAAGACUUAAGACAGGGAAUUUUUCUAGUAUUAAAUGUCAGGAAUUGUGAAGAUUAGUUUAAAUGUAUUUGGCUAAGGUGUAUGGAAACUUCCUACUUCUACUGUGUGUAGAGGUAAAGUGACUACAACAGGAUGACUGAUAAGUGAAUAAUCAGCUCAUGUACAUGAGAAAUCUGUCUAAUCUGUUCUACAUCUAUGCUCAAUGUUUAAUAUUUAGAGACAAGUUGUACAAUAGACAUUAAGAUGCAAAAUCCAUUUAUUUAAUUGCCUUUUUGUCUGUAGUAAAUACUUAAUCAUA
This is a long non-coding RNA of Oncorhynchus keta (chum salmon), 9329 nucleotides long. RefSeq lists it as uncharacterized. The record is from RefSeq and is a predicted model, not a curated record. NCBI's taxonomy places the organism in Eukaryota, Metazoa, Chordata, Actinopteri, Salmoniformes, Salmonidae. The transcript is spliced from 2 exons.